CCUACGUGAGGCAGCAGUGGGGAAUAUUGCACAAUGGGGGAAACCCUGAUGCAGCGACGCCGCGUGAGUGAAGAAGUAUUUCGGUAUGUAAAGCUCUAUCAGCAGGGGAGAAAAUGACGGUACCUGACUAAGAAGCCCCGGCUAACUACGUGCCAGCAGCCGCGGUAAUACGUAGGGGGCAAGCGUUAUCCGGAUUUACUGGGUGUAAAGGGAGCGUAGACGGCAGCGCAAGUCUGAAGUGAAAUCCCAUGGCUAAACCAUGGAACUGCUUUGGAAACUGUGCAGCUGGAGGGCAGGAGAGGUAAGCGGAAUUCCUAGGGGAGCGGGGAAAUGCGUAGAUAUUAGGAGGAACACCAGUGGCGAAGGCGGCUUACUGGACUGUAACUGACGUUGAGGCUCGAAAGCGUGGGGAGCAAACAGGAUUAGAUAUCCGUGUAGUC
RNAcentral lists this ribosomal RNA (440 nucleotides) under uncultured bacterium. RNAcentral's name for it is "partial 16S ribosomal RNA". It matches the Rfam family "Bacterial small subunit ribosomal RNA", at positions 338 to 795 of the family's 1533-position model. The record is from RNAcentral.